RNAcentral lists this ribosomal RNA (366 nucleotides) under uncultured bacterium. Its description in RNAcentral is "partial 16S ribosomal RNA". It matches the Rfam family "Bacterial small subunit ribosomal RNA", at positions 338 to 701 of the family's 1533-position model. The record is from RNAcentral.
CCUACGGGAGGCAGCAGUGAGGAAUAUUGGUCAAUGGGCGCGAGCCUGAACCAGCCAAGUAGCGUGAAGGAUGACUGCCCUACGGGUUGUAAACUUCUUUUAUAAAGGAAUAAAGUGAGGCACGUGUGCAUUUUUGUAUGUACGUUAUGAAUAAGGAUAGGCUAACUCCGUGCCAGCAGCCGCGGUAAUACGGAGGAUCCGAGCGUUAUCCGGAUUUAUUGGGUUGAAAGGGAGCGUAGAUGGGUUGUUAAGUCAGUUGUGAAAGUUUGCGGCGCAACCGGAAAAUUGCACUUGAGACUGGCAGUCUUGAGUACAGUUGAGGUAGGCUGAAUUCGUUGUGUAGCCGUGACAUGCUUAGAUAUCACG